CAAUUUAAGCUUGUUUCUUCGUUCUCGAGUGAUUAGUGUUAAAUAUAAAAAUGUUUAAACACUAUUUUCUAACAGCUUAAACUUUUAGAGUACAACGGUUAUUUCACAUGAUAUCAGAGCAGGAAGUUCUGAGUUCUUAAGUUUUUAGAGUUCAACGGUUAUUUCACGAUUGGAUUGAAGCUUCUCGAGCUCAUUUACA
RNAcentral lists this long non-coding RNA (199 nucleotides) under Ananas comosus (pineapple). Its description in RNAcentral is "long non-coding RNA (ACOM_LNC000109)". Lineage: Eukaryota; Viridiplantae; Streptophyta; Magnoliopsida; Poales; Bromeliaceae. The record is from RNAcentral.